Molecule: non-coding RNA, 96 nt
Organism: Populus trichocarpa (black cottonwood)
Lineage: Eukaryota; Viridiplantae; Streptophyta; Magnoliopsida; Malpighiales; Salicaceae
Source: Rfam
CUUCUGCAGUGAUGAAGUCAUGGAGUAAGAUCCACAUGUCAGACUUCAGAGAUUUUUAAUCGAUGAGAAGAGACUUCCAUAACUUCUGAGCAGAAU